AGUUUAUUUCUAGGCUGAGUACAUGGCUAUACUUGGAUCUCCCUUUGCCUUUAUCUCUGGGAUUUCCUUUGCUCUUUCUUGGAUUGACGUUCUCAUUUCCCAGACUCCAUGUCUUCCUCUUUCUUGCUUUGCCUCAUAAUUUUGGACUUACCUAGUAGCUUCUUCUUCUUUUUUUUUUUUUUCCUUUUUCACAUCAGAUGGGAAAUGUGCCAACGUCACAACAAGGUUUGAGGGAGGCACAUCUCAUGCUCGGACAUGAACACCCGAUCAUCAUGCUUAUGAACUACAAAAGGAUCUCCAGUAUGGGCUCACGGCAGUUGGCCCUUGAAUAACAUGAAUUUGAACUGCCUGAGUCUGCUAAUAUGUGGAUUAUCUUCUGCUUCUGCACCCUGAGACAGCAAGACCAACCCUUCCUCUUGCUUCUUUUCCUUAGCCUAUUCAACGUGAAGAUGACUAAGGCAUGAAAAAACCCUGAAAAACUGAGCGUUUGCUUCUCAGCGACUCAGCUUGAAAGAGGCUGUUUUAAACUGGAAGAGGUUGAGAGGCCUUCAGUUGGUGAGUUUAUUAUUUUCCCUUGCUCCUCUGUGAAAUGAAGCUCAUGAAGAAGCGUAGGUCAGGUACAGAAUAUAAAAGAAUGACCUUUUCUUUUUCCUGGACAAUUUAAGUGCACUGUCAUCUCACAACCUCAAACUCUUUAAUAUGGUAAUGAGAGGCAAAAGGCAUUUUAAUUUGGAGCUAUGUCGCAGUUUUCCAGCAUGUGAAGAAAGCAUCCUCAGUUGCCAAAAGGUCACGUGUGGGAUUAGUUGCUAGGCUGUGGGAUUAUUUUUCUAGGCUUGCUGGGGAAAAGGGCAAAAGAGAAGAAGCAAACUAGCAGAGUCAUGUGGCGUUUCUGUCCUGGGACUUACGCAAAUUAUGCAAUUGUCCUUUGCAUUCAAAUCUGUUCCUCUUCCACCUGAUAUUUUGCUGAGGGGACAAGUGAAAUUCCAAAGCUCAGUUUGCUGAAGUGUGCAAAAUGCUAAUCAGCUUCCACAGCCCACAAAGUGGCAGAGAGGGCGUGCCUCUCUGGAGAAGAGAGGAGAGACUGGACUAGGAGCUGGGAGGAGUCUGGCUGACUCAGCGGCCCCAGACAAACGCACUUCCAUCCUUUCCCAUUUCCGUUGUGAACUCUUCUCCGUGGGCAAGAAGAGGACUCAGAACAACUGCUAUCUUUUUACAAAGAAGGAUGAUGUGCAAGGGGGUCAUUUACAAGAGGAUCAAGGGUUUGGCUAUGUUGGGAGAUGCUGAUUUUGAUAAAUGUUUCCAUAUCUCUACAAAUGUGCCUUUCUGAGUCUCCAGUUAGACUUGAAAAAGACUUUGGAGAUUGUCCCCUGCACAGUGGCUCUGAGCCUGGACACCUAGGAGAUGCUCAGUAAAUAUCUGUUAAAUAAAUGAAGGAAUGGAUAUAGUCCAAACUACUUGGUCAUGCAUCCAGUUUGUGGCAGAUUUGGGUCUCUAAGGCCCAGUACACUAAUCACUCAGCUGGGAGUUUUUAUUCUGUUCCAUCUUGCUGCUAGGACAACUGUAGCCACCCAGAAGGAUGUCUCAACGCUCUGGAAAGUUCUCUGGCUGAAUGUUGCUAUGAUACAAUCUUUUAACAAGCUGAUUGCUCAGUAGCAAGAGCAAGUGCUAUUUAUGUUGGGUAAAUAAGAAGAAAUGCUGCCCUACUGAUAUUUGUUAAGUGCCCCUUUAAUAUUUGUGAGGAGGCGAUCUUGACAAAAUUUUGAGAGUGUAUACACUGGCAAAUUUUACCUUUUAUGGACUGUAAUAUCCUAUUGCUACUUGAUUUAAAAAUCUUUCCCUCUCUUCACAUAUAUCCAUAUGAAAAAAAACAGCAGAGAGAGAUAUAUGUAUAUUAUAUGGGAGAUAUCUAUCUAUCAUCUAUCUAUCUCCCACUUAUGACCUGAAAGCCCCGUCUUUGAGAUGUUCUGCCUUUCCAGCCUAAAUCAAUGUAUACCUUACAUGUAUUGAUUUAUGUCUUUGCCUGUAACUUCUGUUUUCCUAAAAUGUAUAAAACUAAACUGUAAUUCAGUCACCUUGGGUACACUUUCUCAAGCUUUCUUGAGACUGUUUCCCAGGCCAUGGUCAGAAUAAACCUCCUUCAAUAUUUUACAGAGGUUUUUUUUUUUUUUUUUUUUUUUUUUUUUGGUUAUCAGCAUUCAUCCACCAAGGAGGUCACCAGAAGCUUUGGUGGACAGUUUUCAUCCAGGCCAAGGGAAUUCUAACUCAGGCAUCUUUGUCUCGCUGCCUGAGAGUGUUCUCUGGUGGAAACAUCAUGCUCAGCCCAUGUAUUGGGAUUGGGGAAGAGAUCUGAAGUGCCAGGGAGUUAACUCCUGGGAGAAAUCUUCAAACAAAGAAAGCAGGCAAUUGGUGGAUAAAUACCCCAGUUUCUUUACCCCUGAUGAAAACUUUCUGAGGUGUAUUCUAUAGAGGCUUUUGGGGGAUACCCAGGAAGCUUGAGCCCCAGUUGCCCACAGCUAUAGUCCAUUUAUUAAUGCACCUUUGUGUAGCUGAGGACUGGGCCACCUGCUUGUGUGGCUUAUUUAUGCCCUCUGACCCUGUCAGUGCCUGAUUAUGGAUGUGCUGCCUCCAUGUGGCAGUGGAUUGCUGCAGGGUUGCCUUGGCUUAUGACUUCUUGGGUGUGGUAGAACCCAGCUCAUGAUGGGAAUCCAGCUCAUAAUGGGAAUCCAGCUCACGAUGGGAACCCAGCUCAUAAUGGCUGCAUGAUCAUUUGAUGUCCAUGGUUAUAGGCUCCAUCUUUACUAGCAUGUGAGGGACUUUUUUUGCAUGGUGUGUUGUUCUUUGCUGUGAAUAGCCUGGAAUUGCCAUAGAAUAGGGGUUGCCAACCCCUGGGCCUUGGACCCGUACCAGUCUAUGGCCUGUUAGGAACUGGGUUGCCCAGCAGGAGGUGAGUGGCGGGCGAGUGAGCAUUACCACCUGAGCUCUGCCUCCUGUCAGAUCAGUGGCAGCAUUAGGCUCUCAUAGGAGCAUGAACCCUAUUGUGAACUGCACAUGUGAGGAUCUAAGUGGCACACUCCUUAUGAGAAUCUAAUGCCUGAUGAUCUGAGGUGGAACAGUCUCAUCUCGAAACCAUACCCACUCCUCCCCCAUUCCCUGUCCCUGUUCAUGGAAAAAUUGUAUUCCACAAAACUGGUCCCUGGUGCUAAAAAGGUUGGGGACCACUGCCAUAGAACACUAGAGUUUUCAUGCAGUAAUUUUUCUUAUUUGAUCUUCUCAUAAACGCUACACACAUUUUUUUUUCUCACUCCAAAUACCUCUAGAACUUUGUGUAUCAGGCCCUUGGCUGACAUUUUUUUUUUUUUGAGAUGGAGUCUUGCUCUGUAGCCAGGCUGGAGUGCAGCAGCAUGAUCUCAGCUCACUGCAAUCUCCACCUCCGGGGUUCAAGAGAUUCUCCUGCCUCAGCCUCCUGAGUAGCUGGGACUAUGGGUGCAUGCCACCACGCCCAGGUAAUUUUUGUAUUUUUAGUAGAGAUGGGGUUUCACCAUGUUGGCCAGGAUGGUCUCAAUCUCUUGACUUCGUGAUCUGCCUGCCUCUGCCUCCCAAAGUGCUGGGAUUACAGGUGUCAGCCACCAUGCCUGGCCCAUGGCUGACAUUUUAACCUUGUCACUCAUUACAGUAAUUGUGACAACUUUGCUUUUGAUACUUCAACAUUGCUACGUGGCUUUCAUUAUUUUGAAACCCAAUCAGUCCCUUUGCUAGUAGGGGGUCUGUAAUAGCAUUAGCUGUGACCCACAGAGGAUGACCACCACUGAACAUCCCAGUGAUGCUGGUACCCCACCUCAUGGACAUAUUUCUCAUUACUUUGGUAAAUGAGGCACCCACUGGGCCAUCCCAUGGACAUUACUGGCUGGUGGGUUUUCCAGCCUUAAGUGUUAUAUUAGUUAUCUAUGCUACAUAACAACUUACCGCAAAAUUAGCAGUUUAGAAUAACAUACAGUCAUUUUCUCACAGUGUCUGGAGGUCAGAAAUCUGGACAUGGCUUACCUGAAGUCCUUUGUUUGGGGUCUUAAAAGGCUACAGUCAAAGUGUUGGCCAGGCUGCACUCCUAACUGGAGCUCAGGAUCCUCUUUCAAACUCAUGUGCUAAUUGGCAGCAUUCAGUUCCUUGUGGUUGUAGGACUGAAGUCCUUGUUUUCUUGCUGAUGGUCAGCUGGGUGCUGCUCUCAAUUCCUAGAGGUGAUCUGCAGUUCCUUCCUGCAGGGCCUCUCACAACAUGGCAGCUCACUUCUUCAAGCCAGCAGGAGAAUCUCUCAUUCCAGGAUGCCAACCUAGAGUACUGUAUAAUGUAACAUAACCACAGAAUGACUAUCCCAUUACCUUUGCCAGACACUGUUGGCUAGAAGCAAGUCACAGGUUCUGUCUGCACUCAAGCGGAGGGAUUAUACAAGGGCAUGGCUCAUUGAGGGUCAUGUAACGGUGUGCCCACCACAAGUACUAUAGCAAUGCUACACACCUCCUUCUCUGAGCCUUUUGACUCCUUCCUCCACUGUCUGGAGGAAGUCCUGGCAUUUGUACCUCACUUAUGGUGAGACAUCAAUUUCUUCAAGCUUUCAGUAGCCAUCCAAGAUGCAUAUCAACACCAUCUCCUGUGGUUGUUGCCAGUGUUACAUCAUUUUCUCAUAUCAAUAAACUUUCUUAUUCAACUUUAUAUUCUGUCCCCUUGGUCCAGGCCCUCGGGAUCCAGUCCUAUACAGACUUUCCUGGCUUCUGUUGAUGCAUCUUGGUGAGGACUAGCAUCUUCUUUCGCCUACGGUUCCUUCAUAGCAGGCCUAGCACUUCCCUGGAUUUAUCAUGUUGUAACUCGACCCUAAUUAUUGUUCUGGUGGCCAGGAGAGGAGGUGGGGUGAGAUUCUCAGGGGAUCAUUUGUUGUCUUGCACUUGAGGACCUCUGCACUCAAACUGUUUUCAAGUGAAGCGGUAGGGGAUAGGCUGGAGUGCUGGCCUAUAACACGGAGGAAUGGGCUACUCCUUCAGGUCCAGGAGGUUCAGGAGGAUCCCGUGUUUCAAAAUUCCUCAGUGCAUUGACCCAGUUGUUUCCACCCAGGUAUCAGGGUUCCAUUCCUUCCCAAUCAGAGCUUUAAGGAUGUCAACCUUCUGUGGAGUUCCACGACCUGUUAAUUAAGCUUUUUCUGUCCUCUGGCUGUAGGAGAUGAGCAUCUCUUUGCUUGCUGCCAAGGAAACCCUCUGACUUUCCUUCCUUACCUUUUAAUAAUGAUAAAUCACCUCAACAUUUCAUUGUCUUUCUCUAAUGAAUUUAUAGCACCUAGCAGCAGCCAUCUGAUUUUAUUGUACUUCUAAUUACUACUUCAGUUGCCCUGCACCUCUUAAUGCUAUAUCUAUUCACCAGCCAGUGCAUUUCUUUCCGUAGGAAUCUCAUCCAGUUCAGAACAGGUGACAGUUUCAAUAAUUGCAAUGUCAACAUGCCAGAGCUCUCAGUACUCUGCCUACCACCAGUGAUGAGGUACUUAUUGCCAGCCAACUGAUGGGGGAUCCAGCUCCUAAAAUUCCAUUUUAGGGGACAGACAUUGGCAGGAUGGCAGAAUAGAAGAGCCCCUAGCAUCACCCUCCCACGAAAUACAACUAGAAACUAUUCAAAUAGAAGAAUACCACCCUGAUUUUACCAGGACUCAUGGAGAAAGCAGAGAAAUCCCUUGGGCCCACAGAAUUGAGAGAAGCCAUGACUAGUAAGAGACUUGGUCAUUUCAGAUUGUACCACUCCCUCCCCAAAACCAGCAUAAUGACACUCACAAAAAUUUUCCCUAGACACACAGUUUCCAAGGUGAGAGGAAGAAAUUAGAAGUGGACAUUUGAUUUCUUCCCUGGUCUGGGAAUCUUAUGGGAGACCCACUACAAUCUCAUCCCACUAGAAUAAUUGGGAGCACCAGGAGGGCUGAAUUACCUGGGGUGAAUUGGGACA
This 5973-nucleotide long non-coding RNA is filed under the name Homo sapiens (human). RNAcentral describes it as "HSALNT0349445". Lineage: Eukaryota; Metazoa; Chordata; Mammalia; Primates; Hominidae. The record is from RNAcentral.